Molecule: long non-coding RNA, 1119 nt
Filed under: Cricetulus griseus (Chinese hamster)
Lineage: Eukaryota; Metazoa; Chordata; Mammalia; Rodentia; Cricetidae
Description: lncRNA (ENSCGRG00015031140.1)
Source: RNAcentral
AUAAGUCUUAUAAAAUAUAUAGAUGUAUGAUAAUUGAGACUGAGCUAACAGAUGAGAGUCCUAGUCAUUGGCCAAGCAGCAUUGUAACUAAUACAAGUAUCUCUGUGUAUUCAUUUGGGCCUAACUCGGGCAGGCGGCUGUCGUUCACACGUGGCAGUGGGGCUCAGGCGGCAUUUGGCAGAAACAUUUAUCAUAACACCAAACACUGGGGGACCCAAUUUCAUUUAAAAAAAAAAAGACUGGAUUUAAAGACACAGAUUAACAACAAUCUGUUAAUAGUAGAUGAUUUCUUUUCUUUUUUAAUUUUUAUUUUUUAUUUAAAUUAGAAACAAGCUUCUUUUACAUGUCAAUCUCAGUUCCCUCUCCCUCCCCUACUUCCCCCCCACUGACCCCCCUAUCGCAACCCCUUUCUGCUCCCCAGGGAAGUUGAGGCCUUCCUUUGCGGAUAUUCAAAGUCUGUUAUAUCAUUUGGAGCAGGGCCUAGACCCUACCCAGUGUGUCUAGGCUGCAAGAGUAUCCUCCUAUGAGGAGAGGGCUCCCAAAGUUCAUUUGUGUACUAGGGGUAAAUACUGACCCACUACCAGUGGCCCCAUAGAUUUUCCAGACCUCCAAACUGACCUCCUCCUUCAGGGGGUCUGAAACAGUCCUAUGCUGGUUUCCCAGCUAUCAGUCUGGGGUUCAUGAGCAACCCCUUGUUCAGGCCAGCUGUUUCUUUGGGUUUCUCCAGCCUGAUCUUGACCCCUUUGCUAAUCACUCCUUCCUCUCUGCAACUGGAUUCCAGAGUUCAGCUCAGUGUUUAGCUGUGAGUGCCUGUGUCUGCUUCUGCUUCCAUCAGCUACUGGAUGAAGGCUCUAAGAUGGCGUAUAAGAUUCAAUGGAGCUAAGGAUUCUGGCAUUAAACCUCUGAAGGCUGAACUAAGGAUUCUGGGAUUAAACUUCUGAAGGCUGAGCUAAGGAUUCUGGAAUUAAAUCACUGAAAGCUGAGCAAAGAUAAAGCUCUCCUCCUACCACACAACACCAACAUUGACUCUGCCUCCUUCAUGUCAGACCAGCUCCUAGACUAAGUGCUUCACAGCCAAGCCAGAAGAGAAGCUGGUUGUACCCAGAAGAUACAGCUUCC